AUACGUAGGUGGCAAGCGUUAUCCGGAAUCAUUGGGCGUAAAGAGUGAGCAGGCGGUUAAUUAAGUCUGAGGUUAAAGCCUGGGGCUCAACCCCAUAAAGCCUUGGAAACUGAUUGACUCGAGCAAGGGAGAAGUGAAGGGAACUCCAUGUGUAGCGGUGAAAUGCGUAGAUAUAUGGAAGAACACCAGUGGCGAAGGCGGUUCACUAGCCCGAAACUGACGCUCAGUCACGAAAGCGUGGGUAGCAAAUAGGAUUAGAGACCCUAGUAGUCCACGCUGUAAACGAUGACAACUAAAUAUUGCCGCGAGGCAGUGUGGAAGCUAACGCAUUAAGUUGUCCGCCUGGGGAGUACGGUCGCAAGACUGAAACUCAAAGGAAUUGACGGGG
Molecule: ribosomal RNA, 388 nt
Filed under: uncultured bacterium
Lineage: Bacteria
Description: partial 16S ribosomal RNA
Rfam family: Bacterial small subunit ribosomal RNA
Source: RNAcentral